RNAcentral lists this long non-coding RNA (4588 nucleotides) under Oreochromis niloticus (Nile tilapia). Its description in RNAcentral is "lncRNA (ENSONIG00000029359.1)". The record is from RNAcentral. Lineage: Eukaryota; Metazoa; Chordata; Actinopteri; Cichliformes; Cichlidae.
AUGGAUCAGUGUGAGGACAGAGAGGAGGGAGUCCCUCCCUCUAAAAGCACUCUGUGUGGGGAACAUGAGAGCCAGACCAAAGCUCAGAGGAACCAACCUGGACCUCCACCCAGCUUAAAGAACGACGAGUUAAAGGACAUUGGGUCCUCUCCUGCAGAGAGAUCAAAGAUGGAGAAGUCUGUUCAGGAGCAGCUGCUGGAUAUGCUGGAUGAUUUGGGAGAAGAGGAGCUGGAACGUUUCCACUUUUAUCUGGAGAAAGGAGCUGGAGGUGAUUUCACAACCAUCAAAAAGAGCCGUCUGGAGAAAGCAAGCAGAACAAGAACAGUGGAUCUUAUGGUGGAGACAUAUACUACUGACCGCGUGAUGGAGGCGGCAAGCUUAAUUUUAAAGAAGAUGAAUGAAGGAAGUCCUUCAGCCCAGGGAGCUUCAUCGCGUUUAUCAGAAGGUAAGAAUUCAUGUUUGUCUGUAGAGACGUCAAUAUGGCAGAAACCCAUGAAGCCUGAGCUGACCAGUCAGAACUCUGAUUGUUUCUAUGUGUUAUUUCUGUAGCCUCAGUGUAGCUCUGCUGUAUGAUUAAAGUCAGAGCUCCAAUGAAUGAAAGGUUGUUUGGUUUAAUAAUGUCUAACUUUAGUUCACUGCAUGUAACAGCAAACAACAUUAAAACAGAGGGCAUGGUUACACAGCUUUAAAUAAGCUGUGAGGAUCGCUCAUAACAGUUUACAAGAAAUCUAGAAAAAAACAUCUAGCAUGUUUGGACUCAGAAAUAGUCACAGUUACCAUGCUUUAGGGCCUUAUAAUACAUUUAGACCUUCACUCUUCAUGGUUUUAAAUGGAUUUUACAUUUUAAACUAGAGUUUUUAGAAAUGUUUUAUUAAUUUAAGUGAUAUAAAUGAAUGAACUAAAGAUAUUCAAUAUUUUAACUGUGAUGUGCAAGAUGUUAUUAGUUUAAAAUUAUCAAAGUAAGUCAAUAAUUAAUAAACAAAAAACAUGUCAAUUCCAACAUGAUUGGAAUUCACAUAAAAUCCAGCUGUCUUCUGUCACCUCAAGGUGCCUCAUGUUAUAAUGCAGAGACGCUACAAUAGUGCAGAGAAAAGCUUAACAAUGAGACAGCCCCCUUUGAACAGUAGGAAGAAAAAACUCCCAUUUAACAGGCAGUGUCAAAGAAUUGUUUCAGCAAGCAAAGAAAAACACAACUCAAACAUGUAGAUCUACAUGGGUGAUCUCAGUGGAGAAUCACACACGAGCCCCCUGCGUAUCCUUUAUUUAUACUCAAGUCUUAAUUCACAUGUUAUGAGGCGGUGCUCUUAGUAUAGAGAAACAACUCCUUUUACAGAAAGCAAGCUGGGGGUAGGCAGUUAACUGUCGUGCUGGAAACAGGAACCAACUGUUCCUGUUUCUACAAAAUCAUGUGAACACAGCGGACACAAACAUUUCUUCAUAUCCUUAAGGUUACACAGCAUCCCUUAUGCAAGGGUUUAAAUGAAGCUAAAGUGAACUGUAAAACAUGCAGACAUGCUGUGGAAGAGGGUCAGAGAUUUAUAACAGCUGUAGAUAAAGUGCUGAGUGCUGUAUAAACAGGGAGAGGAGGAGGAGAAGAAAAAGAAGAAGAAGAAACACCCAGUGUAUCAUGGGAAUCCCCAGCAGCCUACGUCUAUUGCAGCAUAACUAAGGGAGGAUUCAGGGUCACCUGGUCCAGCCCUAACUAUAUGCUUUAGCAAAAAGGAAAGUUUGAAGCCUAAUCUUGAAAGUAGAGAUAGUGUCUGUCUCCCGAAUCCAAACUGGAAGCUGGUUCCACAGAAGAGGGGCCUGAAAACUGAAGGCUCUGCCUCCCAUUCUACUUUUAAAUACUCUAGGAACAACAAGGAAGCCUGCAGUGCGAGAGCGAAGUGCUCUAAUAGGGUGAUAUGGUACUACAAGGUCAUUAAGAUAAGAUGGGGCCUGAUUAUUUAAGACCUUGUAUGUGAGGAGCAGGAUUUUGAAUUCAAUUCUGGAUUUAACAGGAAGCCAACGAAGGGAAGCCAAAACAGGAGAACAGCUGUGUGAAGGACCAAAAAGCUCUCCAGAGAGUGAUCCGUACAGCAGAACGCUGCUGCAGGAUUGCUCUCCCCCCACUUCAGGACACCUACACCAGGAGAUGCCGGACUAGAGCAACGCAGAUACUGAAGGACCCGUCCCAUCCUGGCAACAAACUGUUCCAACUUCUACAAUGUGGUAGAAGGUUCCGCAUCAUCCAAGGACAGAGAGACUCAAGAAGAGCUUCUAUCCUCAAGCCAUCCGGACCCUAAACCAACACCCCCCCCCCCCACACACACACACACACACACCCGCCAUCUCACAUCAUCUAUAAUUGACUGAGACUCUCCUCCAGACACUCAAUUCCUUUAACUUCCUUUAACUUUAAAUAUGUUUAUAGUGUCCAUUCUGUAAAAUAGUCAGAUGUCUAUUCAUAUUAAUGUACAGAAUUCACCUGCUGCUGCUUCUACUGCACAUUCACCCAAUGUAUAUACUAUAUAUAUAUAUUUAUAAUGUUAUUCCUCUACCCCCCCCCCCCCCCCCCCAUGUUUUUGCACAUGUCGAGGAUCGUGUCAGGAUACAUUUCACUGUGUGUUAUACUUGUAUAACUAUGCAUGUGACAGAUAAAGAACCUUGAACCUUAAACCUUGAUAUGCUCUCUCUUUCUAGUCCCUGUCAGGACUCUUGCUGCAGCAUUUUGGAUUAGCUGAAGACUUUUCAGUGAGUUCAGAACUGAAGAAGCUUCUCGGAUGAGAGGUGAAAUGUCUUCAAGCAACUCAAGAAGUCCAGACGCUUUUCUUUCCAAGCUCCUUAGUCAACUAUUUUUAUAUUUGUUGCACUUUCUGCUCAUCUUGGACAGACGACUCUUGAAAAUCCAUUUUCCUAAUAUAUGUUAUACUAAUAUAAUACAUAUACAUAUAUAAUACAUACUAAUGAUGAAGGAACUGAGCUCACAGUCCAUUGCUCAUUCAGUGAACUACUUAAUUUAUUUUGGGCCUCAGAAAUGCUCACUCUGUUUGUACAUCACUUAUUGUCCGCAAUAGAGCUCAUUCUGCUUUGUAGACACAUACACAUGUGACAUCACUUCCUCUUUAUUUUUCAUGUAGCGUUUGAUCAAAUUAGAGCUGCAUGAAAAACAAUGAAACAGCUUCUAAAAGUUUGACAUCAAAGCAAAUCUAAUGUCUGUCACCAAAUUCCAGCAGAUUCUUCACCAGGACCCUUUGUGAUAGUUUUCGUGUUUCAGACAAACUAAAGUGAUACACAACAUAUGCAGUAACAUUUUUACAUGUUUCUAAGAGUUUGAUAACUAAGCUGUUACCAACAUCCUGCACCAUGUUCUUGUUCAACAUGGGAAAAACACAAGACUAGUUUCAAAUGAGGAUUGAAGCCUUUGCUGUUUUUUAGAUAAGCCACGUGCAUUAUGAUCCCUCAAUACAAUCAGAUUCUGUUUAGAACUGCAUUCAAAACUAUUGAGCCUGAUAGGUUUGUAGCAUAAACCUAUUCGCUGGAACGUUCAGGACAAUUUGCUACACAGCAAAAACAAGACACAAGUAGGCAAAGUUCUUUGUAGUACUCAUGCAUGAGGGAGGCCUGCCUGGAGCCAAGUGUCGUUCCACCCACUUGACCUCCAUCAGACUCUCAGCCAGGUUCCCCAUAGCACUCCUUUUAUUGAGGUUACUUGAAUAUGCAUAGGUUCAUUAACAUAUGACAUCUUAUAUAGGUAUGCAUGUGAACAAAGAAUACCCUGUGUGUUUGUGUGUGUGUGUGUGUGUGUGUGUGUGUGUGUGUGUGUGUAUGUAUAUGUGUGGGGUCAAAAUGUGACCCCUUGAAGACUCCCCAAAGCUGGUGCCAGGAGUCUAGCAGUACAUCUGAACAAAAGGCCCUUACACUCAAACAGAUAUACGUGUGUUUGUUAUACCAUAUAUCAGCAAGAGAAGAUACGACCUCUCCUAGGAGGUGUGUGAUCUAUGAAGAGGAGUGGACGCACUCCCCUCUUCAUGCUACACAGAGUUGUUACAGACUAUUAAGGAUCAAACCUGCUAUCACUACACAAUCAAUUAUAUACUUCUAAGCAUAUAUGAGUAAAUAUUUCUAAGCAUAAAUGGCAAUAAACAAUACAAAUCUAACAGAGCCAAUAUUUUCAGCUUAUAUGGCUGAAACAUUUUCAAAUGAUGAGCUUCCAACAAUGAGUGAAACAGUAAGAGCAUGCGGAGAGUUUGGAAACAUCACAUUAAGAAAGAGAAAUCCAUCAUUUGGAUUCAUUUUAAUGAGCUCAGACUUGUUGAAAAUGCAGAGGAGCUUGUUGUGAACUGAGCUUCAGAGAAACACAACAUAGUGAUAUUCACUGUGAAGCUUUGAGUGAAAAAAGACAGAAAAACAACAUGUGUAUCCUUAAAUAAUGGGAGCUUCCAUCUUUAAAGGACUGAAGAGGAAGAAGUUUACAAGGAAUCAUUUAGAAGAGUUUAAAACAUCAACUGAUUGAAUCCAUCAAUCUGAAAACGUGUUUGUGAGUGAAAGAGACAGACAUGUACAGACUGAACUAUCUGUUCAACAGUCAGAGUGUUUCUCUAACAGG